Galleria mellonella (greater wax moth) is the source of this 343-nucleotide long non-coding RNA. RefSeq lists it as uncharacterized. NCBI's taxonomy places the organism in Eukaryota, Metazoa, Arthropoda, Insecta, Lepidoptera, Pyralidae. The transcript has 3 exons. The record is from RefSeq and is a predicted model, not a curated record.
UCCGUUUGAUUAUAUCGCUAAUGUGAUACACGAUCGAUCGUAACCACGAAAAACAUUGUUGGCGAAAGCAAGCGAACUGCGACUGCAGGCUUUCAGCAAAUUGGGUCGAACUGACCUUUGUACUAAGUGAAAACAACUACCGCUGCACGGCUGCAGAAUUUACGACGAUAAUGGUCAGAGAUAAGUCGGCACAUUACAAGUUUACAUUAGUACGAGCAAUUUGUAUUAGAUAAUGGAAUGGAAUACAAGGAAUAAGAUCAGUUAAAUUUGACGAUCGACAAGGCAGACCUGCGUGACUCAGAGCACAACCAGUUGUAACCGGCUAGACUAGCGGCGCCCGCGC